GAUGAAGAACGUAGUGAAAUGCGAUAAGUAAUGUGAAUUGCAGAAUUCAGUGAAUCAUCGAAUCUUUGAACGCACCUUGCGCCCUUUGGCUAUUCCGAAGGGCAUGCCUGUUUGAGUAUCAUGAACACCUCAACUCUCAUGGUUUGCCAUGAUGAGCUUGGACUUUGGGGGUCUUGCCGGCCUAUGGGUCGGCUCCUCUCAAAUUAAUCAGCUUGCCAGUGUUUGGUGGCAUCACAGGUGUGAUAACUAUCUACGCUUGUGGUUUUCCAUCAGGUAACCUUCAGUGAUGGAGGUUCGCUGGGGCUCAUAAAUGUCUCUCCUCAGUGAGGACAACUUUUUUGAACGUUUGAUCUCAAAUCAGGUAGGACUACCCGCUGAACUUAAGCAUAUCAAUAAGCGGAGGA
This 404-nucleotide unclassified non-coding RNA is filed under the name soil metagenome. Its description in RNAcentral is "partial contains 5.8S ribosomal RNA, internal transcribed spacer 2, and large subunit ribosomal RNA". The stretch from base 1 to 121 matches the Rfam family "5.8S ribosomal RNA", at positions 35 to 154 of the family's 154-position model. The record is from RNAcentral.